Penicillium griseofulvum is the source of this 102-nucleotide small nuclear RNA. The record is from Rfam. Lineage: Eukaryota; Fungi; Ascomycota; Eurotiomycetes; Eurotiales; Aspergillaceae.
GCCCUUCGGGGCAUAGUGUGACGUUGAAAAUAUACAGAGAGGAUUAGCUUGGCCCCUGCACUAAGGAUGACACGCUCAAUCAAAGAGAAGAUGCCCAUUUUU